Molecule: ribosomal RNA, 268 nt
Filed under: Escherichia coli
Lineage: Bacteria; Pseudomonadati; Pseudomonadota; Gammaproteobacteria; Enterobacterales; Enterobacteriaceae
Description: partial 23S ribosomal RNA
Rfam family: Bacterial large subunit ribosomal RNA
Source: RNAcentral
UGAGGGGGGCUGCUCCUAGUACGAGAGGACCGGAGUGGACGCAUCACUGGUGUUCGGGUUGUCACGCCAAUGGCACUGCCCGGUAGCUAAAUGCGGAAGAGAUAAGUGCUGAAAGCAUCUAAGCACGAAACUUGCCCCGAGAUGAGUUCUCCCUGACUCCUUGAGAGUCCUGAAGGAACGUUGAAGACGACGACGUUGAUAGGCCGGGUGUGUAAGCGCAGCGAUGCGUUGAGCUAACCGGUACUAAUGAACCGUGAGGCUUAACCUU